CCCUUAGAUGUCCUGGGCCGCACGCGCGCUACACUGACAUGUUCAACAAGCCUCCUAGUUCGACAGGAUCUGGGAAAUCUUUGAACGCAUGUCGUGAUAGGGAUAGAUCAUUGCAAUUAUUGAUCUUGAACGAGGAAUUCCUAGUAAACGCGAGUCAUCAGCUCGCAUUGAUUACGUCCCUGCCCUUUGUACACACCGCCCGUCGCACCUACCGAUUGAAUGUUUCGGUGAAGAUUCCGGAUAGGACUUUUUUGAUUUAUUUCAAUUUUGUCUUAAAAGCUAUCUAAACCUCAACAUUUAGAGGAAGGUGAAGUCGUAACA
Molecule: ribosomal RNA, 321 nt
Filed under: uncultured eukaryote
Lineage: Eukaryota
Description: partial 18S ribosomal RNA
Rfam family: Eukaryotic small subunit ribosomal RNA
Source: RNAcentral